GUCGUAGACCCGAAACCAGGUGAUCUACCCUUGGUCAGGUUGAAGUUCAGGUAACACUGAAUGGAGGACCGAACCGACUUACGUUGAAAAGUGAGCGGAUGAACUGAGGGUAGCGGAGAAAUUCCAAUCGAACUUGGAGAUAGCUGGUUCUCUCCGAAAUAGCUUUAGGGCUAGCGUCGACAUAAAGAUUCUUGGAGGUAGAGCACUGUUUGGGUGAGGGGUCCAUCCCGGAUUACCAAUCUCAGAUAAACUCCGAAUGCCAAUGAAUUAUGGUCGGCAGUCAGACUGCGAGUGCUAAGAUCCGUAGUCGAAAGGGAAACAGCCCAGACCACCAGCUAAGGUCCCAAAA
Molecule: ribosomal RNA, 349 nt
Filed under: Aurantiochytrium limacinum
Lineage: Eukaryota; Bigyra; Thraustochytrida; Thraustochytriidae
Description: partial Bacterial large subunit ribosomal RNA
Rfam family: Bacterial large subunit ribosomal RNA
Source: RNAcentral